CUCAGGAUGAACGCUGGCGGCGUGCCUAAUACAUGCAAGUCGAGCGAAUGGAUUAAGAGCUUGCUCUUAUGAAGUUAGCGGCGGACGGGUGAGUAACACGUGGGUAACCUGCCCAUAAGACUGGGAUAACUCCGGGAAACCGGGGCUAAUACCGGAUAACAUUUUGAACCGCAUGGUUCGAAAUUGAAAGGCGGCUUCGGCUGUCACUUAUGGAUGGACCCGCGUCGCAUUAGCUAGUUGGUGAGGUAACGGCUCACCAAGGCAACGAUGCGUAGCCGACCUGAGAGGGUGAUCGGCCACACUGGGACUGAGACACGGCCCAGACUCCUACGGGAGGCAGCAGUAGGGAAUCUUCCGCAAUGGACGAAAGUCUGACGGAGCAACGCCGCGGAGUGAUGAAGGCUUUCGGGUCGUAAAACUUCUGUUGUUAGGGAAGAACAAGUGCUAGUGAAUAAGUGCACCUGACGGACCACCA
RNAcentral lists this ribosomal RNA (475 nucleotides) under Bacillus sp. LNA-50. RNAcentral's name for it is "bacterial SSU rRNA". It matches the Rfam family "Bacterial small subunit ribosomal RNA", at positions 23 to 485 of the family's 1533-position model. Lineage: Bacteria; Bacillati; Bacillota; Bacilli; Caryophanales; Bacillaceae. The record is from RNAcentral.